UACGGGGGGAGCAAGCGUUGUUCGGAUUUACUGGGCGUAAAGGGCGCGUAGGCGGCCAGCACAAGUCAGUUGUGAAAUCUCCGAGCUUAACUCGGAAAGGUCAACUGAUACUGUGCGGCUAGAGUGCGGAAGGGGCAACUGGAAUUCUUGGCGUAGCGGUGAAAUGCGUAGAUAUCAAGAGGAACACCUGCGGCGAAGGCGGGUUGCUGGGCCGACACUGACGCUGAGGCGCGAAAGCCAGGGGAGCGAACGGG
Molecule: ribosomal RNA, 254 nt
Filed under: uncultured bacterium
Lineage: Bacteria
Description: partial 16S ribosomal RNA
Rfam family: Bacterial small subunit ribosomal RNA
Source: RNAcentral